This 253-nucleotide ribosomal RNA is filed under the name uncultured bacterium. RNAcentral describes it as "partial 16S ribosomal RNA". It matches the Rfam family "Bacterial small subunit ribosomal RNA", at positions 524 to 776 of the family's 1533-position model. The record is from RNAcentral.
UACGGAGGGGGCUAACGUUGUUCGGAAUUACUGGGCGUAAAGCGCGUGUAGGCGGCCCGGAAAGUCGGAUGUGAAAGCCCUGGGCUUAACCCAGGAAGUGCAUUCGAAACUCCCGGGCUUGAGUUCUGGAGAGGAAGGCGGAAUUCUCGGUGUAGAGGUGAAAUUCGUAGAUAUCGAGAGGAACACCGGUGGCGAAGGCGGCCUUCUGGACAGUGACUGACGCUGAGACGCGAAAGCGUGGGGAGCAAACAGG